UACGUAGGGGGCAAGCGUUGUCCGGAAUUAUUGGGCGUAAAGAGCGUGUAGGCGGCCAGAUAAGUCCGCUGUGAAAUCUCGAGGCUCAACUUCGAGCUGUCGGUGGAAACUAUCUGGCUAGAGUCCGGAAGAGGAGAAUGGAAUUCCUGGUGUAGCGGUGAAAUGCGCAGAUAUCGGGAGGAACACCGGUGGCGAAGGCGGCGACCUGGGUAGAUACUGACGCUGAGGCGCGAAAGCGUGGGGAGCAAACGGG
Molecule: ribosomal RNA, 253 nt
Filed under: uncultured bacterium
Lineage: Bacteria
Description: partial 16S ribosomal RNA
Rfam family: Bacterial small subunit ribosomal RNA
Source: RNAcentral